CCCUUAGAUGUCCUGGGCCGCACGCGCGUUACACUGAUGCAUUCAACGAGCUUAUAACCUUGGCCGAGAGGCCUGGGCAAUCUUGUUAACGUGCAUCGUGAUAGGGAUAGAUUAUUGAAAUUAUUAAUCUUGAACGAGGAAUUCCUAGUAAACGCAGAUCAUCAAUCUGCAUUGAUUACGUCCCGCCCUUUGUACACACCGCCCGUCGCACCUACCGAUUGGAUGGUCCGGUGAAGCCUCGGGAUUGUGGUUCUUGCCGCUUUAUUGUGGCGUGACCGCGAGAACUUGUCUAAACCUUAUCAUCUAGAGGAAGGUGAAGUCGUAACA
This 327-nucleotide ribosomal RNA is filed under the name uncultured eukaryote. RNAcentral describes it as "partial 18S ribosomal RNA". It matches the Rfam family "Eukaryotic small subunit ribosomal RNA", at positions 1470 to 1796 of the family's 1831-position model. The record is from RNAcentral.